Molecule: long non-coding RNA, 376 nt
Filed under: Pan troglodytes (chimpanzee)
Lineage: Eukaryota; Metazoa; Chordata; Mammalia; Primates; Hominidae
Description: lincRNA
Source: RNAcentral
UUUAACACAAACAGGGCUGAAACACGCUCCCUUGCUUGCCACAUUGCGGGUGACGAGAAGGAGAGAAGAGCUGUGUUCUUUUGGGGAGCCCAGACCUAGGGUCUCCCUGAGCCAGGGCUGUGACACUCCCUUUGGGGUUCUAUGGUUCCUGGCAUCUCCAAGCUUCCAGGCGCCACCACCUUCGUUCCCUUCAUCCAAACAGCUGCCCACAGCAGAAUCCACAUGCCGUCCAUCUGGUCCAACCUCACGCAGAGCCACAACUGUGCUGGCGCCUGGAGCUGCCAGCCCCACUGCAGCAGCCGGACUGACAUUCAGACAUGGAGCAAGUUGGACUGCAUAGGGACCCACCAGUGAGAUUGACGCUGUCUGUAAAGGG